Brassica rapa (field mustard) is the source of this 1900-nucleotide RNA transcript. It is a transcript of the gene named ferritin-3, chloroplastic-like, with no coding region annotated. The record is from RefSeq and is a predicted model, not a curated record. Lineage: Eukaryota; Viridiplantae; Streptophyta; Magnoliopsida; Brassicales; Brassicaceae.
AAAAUUGUUUCAGAUUUUUUUAAUGCAUUUUAUAAUAAUUAUUGAAAAUUUAAAAAUUAGUUACAUUUAUUGAAAUUUUUAGUAGUUGACAUUUAUAAUCAAAAGUAUGUAUUUAUAAUUAAUAUUUAAUGUAUUUGCAAAAAAAAAUGCAUUGUUUUGAAAUGGAGAAAAUAGUCAUUGGCAUAUUUACAGUUUUAAUUUCUUUUGUAAAUUAAAUGAAGAAAUACAUAUUUUUACUUUAAUAAAACUUAUAGUAGGUUAGGUAAUAACUUGGAGAACACGUAGUUGAAAAUUAAUCAUCUGUUUUGACGCACACAAAAAACACUAAACCAUUAGUUAAGAGUUGAAACUAUGGGAAAGAAAAUCAAAUGUGGUAAUUAAUGUCUAGAUGGUGCUAAUAGUAUAGAUUAGCAAGAAAUAAAGGCAGCUUCACUUUUGUAGAUGGAUUACUAACGGCGUCAACACGUCGGGCUUUUAUUGGCGCUAAAGAGAUAACGGUGUUUGUGAAACAGAGGCGUUGAUGAGAGAGGUGUUGUGUUUUCAUUGGGAAAUGGCCUUGUCGUGCUGUGAACAGGCAGGUCUGGGUGGGUGGACGUAAAGAGAUAAGUGAAUGGCUACGUGGCACCAGAGAAAAAGCGUAUUUUAGCAUUCUCUCACAAUUCAGGUGUCAUUUUCCAUGCUAUUCAGGCUAUUGUGCGCUUAAAAGAGUUUUCAUAAUAUUGGAUUGGUCACAUACAACGUUCAGAAAAAAAAAGAAUUUUUUACACUUGGAAACACUUCUUUAUCAGUUUACAAUUACAUCCAAAAACACAAUUCACUUGUGACACACUUUGUUGUGUGUAAAAGUCCUCAAUGCCCUUUAACUAGAAACCAAGUCACUCUUCUCAAUCGUGACCAAACUGAACAAAACAACAAGUAUCUCAUAUUAAACUUCUAGCUUUACCAAAUUACAAACCCUUAUCCAACAUAAAAAUCCUAAUUUCCCAACUUUCAUCUUAGAGGAGAUGAAAAUUAAAAUCCCUAAUCAAUCUGAAAUCCGAUGACUGUCGUUUCUAUUCAUUUUAUUCAGAGACGACGAAUUUAUUGACGUUGCUGGUAACGAAGUCGUCGCCGUCUUGAUCUGUUCUUUCGAGUCCUCUCUUCACCACCAAACUUUUCUUACCUCUGGUUCCAUCUCCCAGCCAUUGAGUCAUUCAUGGAGAGCCAUGGAUAGGCAUCAUCUGUUUCUUCUCUCUACCUUAUCUCAAAUCUCAAUUUCAAAACCUCUCUCCUAUCUCAAAUCUCCUUCUCUGUUUGUGCAUCCACGCAACCGAUAAGUGGCGUCGUUUUCAAGCCGUUUGUGGAGGUGAAGAAGGAACUCGAUCUCGUGCCUUCAAGUCCGGAGCUUUCGCUUGCUCGACAUAUGUACUCCCUUGAAUGUGAAGCCGCAGUGAAUGAGCAGGUCAAUUAAGCUUCUUUUUAACCUUUUUUGUGUUGUUUUUCAAGGACUCAAGUGUGGAAGAAAGAGACCACGCAAGAUGUUGAUGGAGUAUUAGUCAGCAGGAAAAACGUGGUGGGAGGGUUCAGCUAAAGCCCAUGGUGAUGCCUCAGUCUAAGUUUGAUUACGCUGACAAAGGAGAUGUUGUCUAUGCCAUGGAGUUGGCUCUAUCAUUGGAGAAACUGGUCAAUGCGAAGCUCCUAUACGUUUUCUUCAAAGAUGGGUUCCUAAUAUAACUACUAAGUUCCUCUUCAAAGAUGGGUUCAUGGGCAUUGUGAAGUAAUCAAAUUAUCUCUGAGAAUGCUUUUCUAUAGAUAAACAAUUUAUUGUAAUAAUUAUUUUUACCUUAUAUAUUUUUAAUGUCCAUGUUCACAUUUUUUAUUUUUAAAGAAAUCACAAUUAUAAUUUACUUUUUCAUACACA